GUAGUCGUGGCCGAGAGGUUAAGGCGAUGGACUUGAAAUCCAUUGGGAUAUUCCCAUGCAGGUUCGAAUCCUGCCGAUUACG
Molecule: transfer RNA, 82 nt
Filed under: Araneus ventricosus
Lineage: Eukaryota; Metazoa; Arthropoda; Arachnida; Araneae; Araneidae
Rfam family: tRNA
About the family: Transfer RNA (tRNA) molecules are approximately 80 nucleotides in length. Their secondary structure includes four short double-helical elements and three loops (D, anti-codon, and T loops). Further hydrogen bonds mediate the characteristic L-shaped molecular structure. tRNAs have two regions of fundamental functional importance: the anti-codon, which is responsible for specific mRNA codon recognition, and the 3' end, to which the tRNAs corresponding amino acid is attached (by aminoacyl-tRNA synthetases). tRNAs cope with the degeneracy of the genetic code in two manners: having more than one tRNA (with a specific anti-codon) for a particular amino acid; and 'wobble' base-pairing, i.e. permitting non-standard base-pairing at the 3rd anti-codon position.
Source: Rfam by way of RNAcentral